UCUUACACAUGUUUUAAUUAGCGAAAGUUUGACCGUUAAAGUACGACUGCUUGUUACAUGAUUGAUAACAGUCUACUAGAGAAAGAAUAUUUAGACAUCAGACCUGUAAAAAAAUAGUGGUAUUACGCCUGAGACAAAAUAUUUUGUUCAAAUCAGUUGUUUCCCCUUCGGUACUGUAUGUUUCCGGUUUCGGAUUUUAUCAGGGAAGCAUGUGAAGUUUACUUUUGUUUAACUUCCUUUUGUUGAACGAUGAAGGGAUCUGAGACUUGUAAUACUGUUUACUGAUUUGAUAAUAUUCCUUGUUCCUUUGAUGGUUCAUUCCACUACAGCUGGUUCAUAUACCCUACAACAGCCAGGAAAUUGGUCUGUUUACUUUAAGAUCUGAAGAAAAUGUUACAUAUUUUGGAUGUGCUUUGAGGAAUCAGGAAGGCAAGUGUUUCCUCUUGUUUAUGAAAGCAACUCAGUUGGUUAAGGGGCAGACAACUUGUGAGCAUGGUACAUCACUACCUGUAUUGGUAUUCUAUUUUGACAAUGCUGCUAGCUACAAUAGAAAUAACAUCUUGCUGUGGUAUGGUCUGUGGAGAGUUUUACUAGGAUAUCACAGAUGGAUUGAUAUUCAGCAAUGAUCACAGACCAUGCAAAGUUUGAAUCUGACUUGCACUUUUGAAUUUAGAAGAAUCUGUGGAGGAGGGUGAAUGCUGAGACCUUUAAUAAUACAUGAUAUUGCUGACACAGUGUGUCAGUCAUCAAAGAAAGGUCAUAACAUUGCACAGUUGGUCAACAAUGAUUUAAAUCCUGUCACAUUCUGCCAGUGGAGAAAUAUCUUAUCACAAUAUUUUAAACUUUUGAAGAAGAUAACCAAGUAUUACCAUUUUAUCAUGUCUGCAGAAACACCUGGAUUGUUAGUGUUAAAAGUGACCGUCCAGUUGAGACAGUUAACUUACUAAAAUCUACUCCCCCUUGCCAAACGAAUAUUAUUGACAUGGAAUGACACAAGCCUGACAAUGGUACCUGUAUGAACUCCUAAGAGAGUAGUAUUUGUCUGAAAAGUCAAAGGAUUCUGUUUGUCCCAGACCACUUGAACUGAAAACUGAAAUUGUGAUUGACGAGGAUUUUUCCCAGAACUGAAAAAAGGAAGUGAAUAUAAAAGAUAGAAAUUGUUGUUGAAUUUAAACGUUUUAAUGCACAACACUUCAGCAUGUUUUGCUGUUCAUAUAGAUGUGUUUAGCUGUUAAGGUUAAACAUCAAGUAAAGGUUGUAGUUUCAGUUACCUACAUUAAAGUAUUGGCUGGAAAUAAAUAUUUACUUUUCACCAGAGCUUGUAGCAGUGUAACCUUUAUCAUAAGUUAAGCUAUUAUGUUAAGUAUUAAAGUAUUUUUAGAAAAAAAGAAUUUAGUAUGUAUGUUGCCAUGGUAACAUAAUUCAAAUUAUAUUUCAUUGAAAUUAUGGAUUUGUAUUUCAAUAAGGGAUCUACAGUAUAUAAUGUAAUGGUAAAAGAAUGUUCACUUUCUUCAGUAUUGUCAGUUAUAACUAGCCAGUGAAAAAAAAAACAGAUUAUGAGGAAAGGGAUGACAGAAAUGUUUAUUCUUACGAUAACUACUUUUGUUACUUUUUUUUGUUUUAUUAUUUUAAAGAUUUUAUGUGAAAUUUUCAGAUUUCUUUCCUGAAUACUUAUACUUUCAAAUAUUUUACUUAUUAGAACUAUUUUUUUAAAAUAAGCUUUUGUUUUUAAGUAUUAUUGUAGGAAAAGGGAAUUUAAAACAUAUGUCGCCAUGGUAACACAAUUUUGUUAGAAAAUAUGGAAAGUUUUUAAUUAGGUGUACUUUCUAGUAUUCCACUUUAAAGUAAGCAUAAACAAUAAAAAAAAAAUCAAUAGUAAUACAUGUUUCAUUUAUUUCAAAAUAGUCAUUUAUUACCAGCAGGUAAAAGGCAAGUUAUGAACUUCAAGAAACAAUGACGAAAUGUCUUAUUCUUAUAGUUAUUACUGAUGUUACAAACGCUGUCAUAAAACAAAACAUUUUAAUUUUUUAACAUGGAAUUUUGAGAUAUUUUUGAAUACAUACCAC
Molecule: long non-coding RNA, 2066 nt
Organism: Mercenaria mercenaria
Lineage: Eukaryota; Metazoa; Mollusca; Bivalvia; Venerida; Veneridae
Exons: 4
Source: RefSeq, a predicted model, not a curated record